UAAAGCGGGUGAAAAGCCCGCUCGCCGGAAGACCAAGGGUUCCUGUCCAACGUUAAUCGGGGCAGGGUGAGUCGACCCCUAAGGCGAGGCCGAAAGGCGUAGUCGAUGGGAAACGGGUUAAUAUUCCCGUACUUGGUGUUACUGCGAAGGGGGGACGGAGAAGGCUAUGUUGGCCGGGCGACGGUUGUCCCGGUUUAAGCGUGCAGGUGUGUGUUCCAGGUAAAUCCGGUUCACUUUAACACUGAGGCGUGACGACGAGGCACCACGGUGCUGAAGCAACAAAUGCCCUGCUUCCAGGAAAAGCCUCUAAGCCUCAGGUAACAUCAAAUCGUACCCCAAACCGACACAGGUGGUCAGGUAGAGAAUACCAAGGCGCUUGAGAGAACUCGGGUGAAGGAACUAGGCAAAAUGGUGCCGUAACUUCGGGAGAAGGCACGCUGACACGUAGGUGAAGUGGUUUACCCAUGGAGCUGAAGUCAGUCGAAGAUACCAGCUGGCUGCAACUGUUUAUUAAAAACACAGCACUGUGCAAACACGAAAGUGGACGUAUACGGUGUGACGCCUGCCCGGUGCCGGAAGGUUAAUUGAUGGGGUCAGCGCAAGCGAAGCUCCUGAUCGAAGCCCCGGUAAACGGCGGCCGUAACUAUAACGGUCCUAAGGUAGCGAAAUUCCUUGUCGGGUAAGUUCCGACCUGCACGAAUGGCGUAAUGAUGGCCAGGCUGUCUCCACCCGGGACUCAGUGAAAUUGAACUCGCUGUGAAGAUGCAGUGUACCCGCGGCAAGACGGAAAGACCCCGUGAACCUUUACUAUAGCUUGACACUGAACACUGGUCCUUGAUGUGCAGGAUAGGUGGGAGGCUUUGAAGUGUGGACGCCAGUCUGCAUGGAGCCAUCCUUGAAAUACCACCCUUUAAUGGCUGGUGUUCUAACGUGGGCCCCUGACCGGGGUUGCGGACAGUGUCUGGUGGGUAGUUUGACUGGGGCGGUCUCCUCCUAAAGAGUAACGGAGGAGCACGAAGGUUGGCUAAUCCUGGUCGGACAUCAGGAGGUUAGUGCAAUGGCAUAAGCCAGCUUGACUGCGAGCGUGACGGCGCGAGCAGGUGCGAAAGCAGGUCAUAGUGAUCCGGUGGUUCUGAAUGGAAGGGCCAUCGCUCAACGGAUAAAAGGUACUCCGGGGAUAACAGGCUGAUACCGCCCAAGAGUUCAUAUCGACGGCGGUGUUUGGCACCUCGAUGUCGGCUCAUCACAUCCUGGGGCUGAAGUAGGUCCCAAGGGUAUGGCUGUUCGCCAUUUAAAGUGGUACGCGAGCUGGGUUUAGAACGUCGUGAGACAGUUCGGUCCCUAUCUGCCGUGGGCGCUGGAAGAUUGAGGGGGGCUGCUCCUAGUACGAGAGGACCGGAGUGGACGCAUCACUGGUGUUCGGGUUGUCAUGCCAAUG
Molecule: ribosomal RNA, 1438 nt
Filed under: Salmonella enterica
Lineage: Bacteria; Pseudomonadati; Pseudomonadota; Gammaproteobacteria; Enterobacterales; Enterobacteriaceae
Description: partial 23S ribosomal RNA
Rfam family: Bacterial large subunit ribosomal RNA
Source: RNAcentral